AGUGGGGAAUAUUGCACAAUGGGCGCAAGCCUGAUGCAGCCAUGCCGCGUGUGUGAAGAAGGCCUUAGGGUUGUAAAGCACUUUCAGUCGUGAGGAAAGGUGUGUGCUUAAUACGUACAUACUGUGACGUUAGCGACAGAAGAAGGACCGGCUAACUCCGUGCCAGCAGCCGCGGUAAUACGGAGGGUCCGAGCGUUAAUCGGAAUUACUGGGCGUAAAGCGCGCGUAGGUGGAUUGGUCAGUCAGAUGUGAAAGCCCAGGGCUCAACCUUGGAACUGCAUCUGAUACUGCUAGUCUAGAAUACAGUAGAGGGUAGUGGAAUUUCCUGUGUAGCGGUGAAAUGCGUAGAUAUAGGAAGGAACACCAGUGGCGAAGGCGACUACCUGGACUGAUAUUGACACUGAGGUGCGAAAGCGUGGGGAGCAAACAGGAUUAGAUACCCUGGUAGUCCACGCCGUAAACGAUGUCUACUAGCCGUUGGAAGACUUGAUCUUUUAGUGGCGAAGCUAACGCGAUAAGUAGACCGCCUGGGGAGUACGGCCGCAAGGUUAAAACUCAAAUGAAUUGACGGGGGCCCGCACAAGCGGUGGAGCAUGUGGUUUAAUUCGACGCAACGCGAAGAACCUUACCAACUCUUGACAUCCAGAGAAGAGGCUAGAGAUAGCUUUGUGCCUUCGGGAACUCUGAGACAGGUGCUGCAUGGCUGUCGUCAGCUCGUGUUGUGAAAUGUUGGGUUAAGUCCCGUAACGAGCGCAACCCUUGUCCUUAUUUGCCAGCACGUAAUGGUGGGAACUCUAAGGAGACUGCCGGUGACAAACCGGAGGAAGGUGGGGACGACGUCAAGUCAUCAUGGCCCUUACGAGUUGGGCUACACACGUGCUACAAUGGCCGGUACAGAGGGCUGCAAACCUGCGAAGGUAAGCUAAUCUCACAAAACCGGUCGUAGUCCGGAUUGGAGUCUGCAACUCGACUCCAUGAAGUCGGAAUCGCUAGUAAUCGUGGAUGAGAAUGCCACGGUGAAUACGU
This 1026-nucleotide ribosomal RNA is filed under the name uncultured bacterium. RNAcentral's name for it is "bacterial SSU rRNA". It matches the Rfam family "Bacterial small subunit ribosomal RNA", at positions 353 to 1371 of the family's 1533-position model. The record is from RNAcentral.